GGGGCAUCUAUGUAAUAUUAAAGGUUAAUUUUAUACAGAUUCCUAUAAAUAUAGUGAAUAACAAAUAUAUCCCUACAAAAUUCAAUUUUCAUAUGUUAUCUGCAAAAGUCCUGAUAUUUUUAAAUAUGUUCCUAUGCUUUGUUAUCGUUAGAGAACUAUUAGAGAAUUGUUUAUAUUUUCAAUUUUGCCAUCACAAAUAUGUUCCUCCAAAAGGCAUAACAGUAUUAUAUAAGAGGGAUAAAAAUAUCAAAAAUUAAUCAGGAUUAAAUAUUUAAUCAAUGAUUAACUAAAUUUUCCUAACGGAUUCUAACGACAGAAACAUAUUUAAAAAUAUUAGAACUUUUAUAGAAACAAUAUAUGAAAGUUGAACUUUGUAAAGAUAUAUUUAUCAUUCACUGUGUUUACAGGUAUCUGUAUGAAAUUAACCCUUAUAUUACAGGCGCACAAAACACAAUCUUUUUGUAAUCUGUAAGUUAGUUUAUACAAAAUUAUGAGUGUGAAAAAAUUAAAAAAAGAUAAAAAAAAAUAUAAAAAAAGGUGUAACAAAAUGGG
Molecule: long non-coding RNA, 552 nt
Filed under: Ananas comosus (pineapple)
Lineage: Eukaryota; Viridiplantae; Streptophyta; Magnoliopsida; Poales; Bromeliaceae
Description: long non-coding RNA (ACOM_LNC001480)
Source: RNAcentral